UAUGGACAGAGCUGAGAUGGCGCAAUAGCUGAACCUUGUGUCUAUCUCCCCCCAUUUAUCUCCUUGAAAGCUUCCGUCCUCGUGCUGCAUAGAGGCAAUCCAUGUUCCAGUAAGGUUGGCGUUUAUUUCAUCGAUACGGUUGAACAUAGCUAAGACUUGUAUGGCGCUCAAUGUAUACAGAAGGUGUUCGUCGUGGUGUAUGUUUCCGCCAAAUCCUCCGCUUGGUUUUUGACAGGACUUGAUGAAUUGUACUGUUUUUUCCUGAUUUACUUCGUUGAGGGCGCCCAUGACAUCUAAGGCCGUCAGGCCCCAAUAAAUCCCGCUCAUGCGAAGAUGCUCCGUCAUCCAGUAUUCAACACUUUCUUCGUUCUGAGUGUUCGAUGAGCAGAGCGUGAGGCAGAGCUGGAAGUGUUAGAGACGGGUGUGUGAGAGUAAGGUACCGCCGUUCUUCCCCGACGUCAUACCGGGUCAUCGAAGCUUUUUAUGAAUUGGAUGUGUCUGCUGCGGUAAAGAGUAGUUUCAGGUGAGGUGGUGGUUUGACUCAUUGGGGAGGAGUCUUUAGAGCCGAGGGACUUUUUUCGAGCAGCUAGAGAAGAAAAUGGAGCGGCCUGCUGCGUUUUGCUGGUUUUAAACAGGAUGCAUAUGAGAAGUGGUGCAAAGAGUGGGCACACAGGGUGGUAUUUUAGCCAAGAGAGAGGGUGAUGCUAGUCCUAUCUGUCCUGUGUCCGAGAGGAGGGAAGCGCGGCUGCCCGACUCGUCAAAAAAAGUUUUAACUGCACAAAAAGGGCUCUUAGUUUUUGAAAAAGGGGUUGUGUCUAGGCAGGGAAAAUCCCGACCUGUCAAAAAAAUUUUUUUUCAAUUGCACAGAUAGAGAGGAUUAGAGGAUUUGCAGUUUUUGCAAAGAAGUCGUCGUGCAGAUGUAUGGCAGAUUUAUCCGCGAGCCAAUGUCCCGGUUUGAGUAUCAGCAAGCGAGGAGAUCGGAUGGACUGUAAAACAGGCUUGUGACGGUGUGACUAUACCGAAUUGCCAGCCCGAGUAUGCACGUAGAAAUGUGAAAUAGAGUGAGGCGCCUACAGAGUUUUUUUUCGGUAGUGGGUCCGAAGAUGAAGAGGGCAGCGUUGAUCAGAGUCAGGUUUGGGCUGUAGCGGAGCAUCUUGGUUUCUUUGACGUAUCUAAAGAGAGAAAGUUAGAAAGAUGCCUGCGAAUUUAUUGAUACGAGAAUGUCAAUUUACGAUGUACAUGGGUACUCGAUGUCGUGGACAGGGGAUGAAGCCCAGGAGCUGCGGUAGAGACAUGACGAAGUUCAGAAGUUGGGGAAGACAGAAGAGCAUGAGAGUUUUAGAAAAAUGGCCCUGUAUGGCCGCGACGGCGAUAGUCAUGCCGGAGAAGUAGGUGAAAGAGUCUCCAACAAACACCUCGGAGGGGUAAGCGUUGUAGUAUCCUAAUACAAGGACGGUAGCUAGGAAUGGCAUCAUCAAUUGAAUGCUUUGCAUGUGUCUGAAGGCGCACGGACCAGAUAGCUCUAUGCAGUUAUGCACCAAAAUGGCGCACGUGAUGACAAGGAUUUGAGACGUUUCGAGACCUUUUCAUAAGAGACUUAGUGUAUAUCUGCGCGCGAAACUGCGAAGGUCUCCCUCCUAUCGUACCAUUAAUGCCCGCAUAUAUGUUAACGCCAUUCGUACAGAACACGAUGAUGAGCGCCAUAUAGAGGUAGUAGAAAUAACCUUUUGAGGGUUCGGUGAGUCAAGAUGUGCACACGGGUGUAGAAAGCCCCGUUUUUAGAGGACUUACCUAAUUGCAAUGUGGUCUGUUCGUAUCUGAGGAACAUGGGGAUCAUCACGUUGGUCGGACCAGAAUACGCUACCAACAGUGGCAACGUGGCUAUCCACGACAGCAACAGCUUUACUCCCCACCUCACAUUUAAGACAUCGUCCAAGAACCCCAACAGCGUCAUCAUGCAAACGGACAACAGAGAGGCGUUGUAUUCGACCAACUAGUUUGCCAUUGUUUUAGUUCGAGAAGGUGCGCGAGAGAAAGUCGACAAAAAAAAUACAAACAAGCACGUAAGAGCAGAAAUUAUUGAGAGAAAUAAGUCUUUUCAGCGUACAUACAUUUUUUUAUGGGUCUCUCCUUUGUUGAUGUCGUAUCCCCACAGACCCCUUUCGACCAUCAGAUUCUUCAAUUUCGGAAUUAUCUUGUACGUGAAAUAGAAGCACUGGAUCGACAUGCCCAUGCACACCAAGUAUUGUUGAGCCAUCGUCGGCUGGCACAGAAGGACUUGCACAAGCACGACGAGGACGGCGACCGCAAAGAUGCAGCAUGUGACAACAACACCUGAGAUAUACAUACAAAACCCCUAAUCGUAUAGUCCACAGCUGCUUUGACCUACUGAUUCCUCUUUUCCAAAAAAAAACUUUUGCGCGUCUUUCUUAAUGUGUGUACCUUCGAAGUAGGCCAAAAAAAAUUUUUUUGAGGUGUCUCUGCAUUUUCUCGAGUCACCUUUGCCGCUCUGGGUUUCAGAUAAAAAACGAUUCGUGAUUGCAUUCAUGAACCGAGUCGUGUCUAUUUCUCUAAGAGGCCCACGUUUUGCCUUUUCGCACUCGAAAAUCGAUCUUCUUCACAAACGUGCUCUUAAGUUGCCCACAAAAGAACCUCGCUUCUUUCCCUAUCGCAUCCGUCUUCUCGCUACGUUCGACGCCAGCAAGCCCCCCUCGCCUCCAGACCACUCGAGCGCACAAGAAAUUCCCCUGAUUGAAUAUCAUUGGGACGAACUCAAUGAAAUAAUCACCAAAAGACUCAAAAAUCAAAUUGGCGCCACCAAAGUCACAGUAAUCGACAAAACGGUGCCGAAGAAUAACGCGGCAACCCAGGCCUCUCUGGUCGAAAUUAAGGUCGAAUCACCCGAAUUUGAAGGAAAGUCAAAAGUGGAAAGAAGCAGACUGGUUAUGAAUUCCAUCAAAGAUCUUGUUGAAGAGAUACAUGGAAUAUCCAUUUCCACAUCAACACCCAACCAACAACCGCGAUAGGGGCUCCUUUUUAUUUCAUCCCUUCAUAUAUUUGCUCAGAAUUUCAUAAUCACUUUGUUCGAAGAUUUGUCGAUGGACGUCUGCACUCGGCGAAGUUUCAUCUACUGCAUAUCUUAUCAACACGUUAAAAAAAAAUAAAAUUUACGUUUUCUCUUUUUUGCGUACUUUAAAUGCUUGUAGAAUUGGAUGGCCUGCGUGUUCUGUUUGAACACAGUCAACAUCACCCAACCCAUCGAGUACUUGAUGGCUAGCAAUUCGAUGAUCUUCAUCAUCCGCUUCCCUAAUCCCUUCCUCCGUAUCCCCUCCUCCAGCUGAAUUUCAUACAAAUAUAAUACUGGCUCCUCUUUCCCCUCCUCGUAAUCAAACCUGAAAUGGCAGAAUGCAACCGGCGCCUUGUUGCACACCUCAUAUGCUAUUCAUUGUCAAAAGCUGUACUUUUUAAAAAAAAAACAAAAAAAAACAAACCUAUCAAAUAAA
Molecule: long non-coding RNA, 3503 nt
Organism: Schistocerca gregaria
Lineage: Eukaryota; Metazoa; Arthropoda; Insecta; Orthoptera; Acrididae
Exons: 3
Source: RefSeq, a predicted model, not a curated record